UGCCAGACUCCUACGGGAGGCAGCAGUGGGGAAUAUUGCACAAUGGGGGAAACCCUGAUGCAGCGACGCCGCGUGAGCGAUGAAGUAUUUCGGUAUGUAAAGCUCUAUCAGCAGGGAAGAAGAUGACGGUACCUGACUAAGAAGCCCCGGCUAACUACGUGCCAGCAGCCGCGGUAAUACGUAGGGGGCAAGCGUUAUCCGGAUUUACUGGGUGUAAAGGGAGCGUAGACGGCGAUGCAAGCCAGAUGUGAAAGCCCGGGGCUCAACCCCGGGACUGCAUUUGGAACUGUGUGGCUGGAGUGUCGGAGAGGCAGGCGGAAUUCCUAGUGUAGCGGUGAAAUGCGUAGAUAUUAGGAGGAACACCGGUGGCGAAGGCGGCCUGCUGGACUGCGACUGACGUUGAGGCCCGAAAGCGUGGGGAGCAAACAGGAUUAGAUACCCGGGUAGC
RNAcentral lists this ribosomal RNA (448 nucleotides) under uncultured bacterium. RNAcentral describes it as "bacterial SSU rRNA". It matches the Rfam family "Bacterial small subunit ribosomal RNA", at positions 329 to 794 of the family's 1533-position model. The record is from RNAcentral.